AGCUCGUGUCGUGAGAUGUUGGGUUAAGUCCGUAACGAGCGCAACCCUUGUCCUUAGUUUACCAGCACGUUAUGGUGGGCACUCUAAGGAGACUGCCGGUGACAAACCGGAGGAAGGUGGGGAGUGACGUCAAGUCAUCAUGGCCCUUACGGCCUGGGCUACACACGUGCUACAAUGGUCGGUACAAAGGGUUGCCAAGCCGCGAGGUGGAGCUAAUCCCAUAAAACCGAUCGUAGUCCGGAUCGCAGUCUGCAACUCGACUGCGUGAAGUCGGAAUUGCUAGUAAUCGUGAAUCAGAAUGUCACGGUGAAUACGUUCCCGGGCUUU
This 327-nucleotide ribosomal RNA is filed under the name uncultured Pseudomonas sp. RNAcentral's name for it is "bacterial SSU rRNA". It matches the Rfam family "Bacterial small subunit ribosomal RNA", at positions 1057 to 1382 of the family's 1533-position model. Lineage: Bacteria; Pseudomonadati; Pseudomonadota; Gammaproteobacteria; Pseudomonadales; Pseudomonadaceae. The record is from RNAcentral.